RNAcentral lists this ribosomal RNA (724 nucleotides) under uncultured Cytophagaceae bacterium. RNAcentral describes it as "bacterial SSU rRNA". It matches the Rfam family "Bacterial small subunit ribosomal RNA", at positions 94 to 817 of the family's 1533-position model. The record is from RNAcentral. Lineage: Bacteria; Pseudomonadati; Bacteroidota; Cytophagia; Cytophagales; Cytophagaceae.
ACCGGCGCACGGGUGCGUAACGCGUAUGCAACUUACCCUACACUGGGGGAUAGUCGGGAGAAAUUCUGAAUAAUACCCCAUAGGCCAUUAGUACUGCAUGGUAUAGAUGGUAAAGAUUUAUUGGUGUAGGAUGGGCAUGCGUCCGAUUAGCUAGUUGGCGGGGUAAUGGCUCACCAAGGCGACGAUCGGUAGGGGGUCUGAGAGGAUGAUCCCCCACACUGGUACUGAGAUACGGACCAGACUCCUACGGGAGGCAGCAGUAGGGAAUAUUGGUCAAUGGGCGAGAGCCUGAACCAGCCAUGCCGCGUGCAGGAAGAAGGCCUUCUGGGUUGUAAACUGCUUUUAUACAGGAAGAAAAGGCCCCUGCGGGGGAUAUUGACGGUAUUGUAUGAAUAAGCACCGGCUAACUCCGUGCCAGCAGCCGCGGUAAUACGGAGGGUGCGAGCGUUGUCCGGAUUUAUUGGGUUUAAAGGGUGCGUAGGCGGCCGAUUAAGUCAGUGGUGAAAGCCGGCAGCUUAACUGUCGAGGUGCCAUUGAUACUGGUUGGCUUGUAUUUUGUUGAGGUAGGCGGAAUUGAUGGUGUAGCGGUGAAAUGCAUAGAUACCAUCAGGAACAUCGAUUGCGAAGGCAGCUUACUGGGCAAGGAUAGACGCUGAGGCACGAAAGUGUGGGGAUCAAACAGGAUUAGAUACCCUGGUAGUCCACACUGUAAACGAUGAUUACU